AGUGAACGCUGGCGGUAGGCCUAACACAUGCAAGUCGAACGGCAGCACAGUAAGAGCUUGCUCUUACGGGUGGCGAGUGGCGGACGGGUGAGGAAUACAUCGGAAUCUACUUUUUCGUGGGGGAUAACGUAGGGAAACUUACGCUAAUACCGCAUACGACCUACGGGUGAAAGCAGGGGAUCUUCGGACCUUGCGCGAUUGAAUGAGCCGAUGUCGGAUUAGCUAGUGGGCGGGGUAAAGGCCCACCAAGGCGACGAUGCGUAGCCGGUCUGAGAGGAUGAGCGCCCACCCUGUAACUGAGACACGGUCCAGACUCCUCCGGGAGGCAGCAGUAGGGAAUCUUCCGCAAUGGGCGAAAGCUUGACGGAGCAACGCAGCGUGAGUGAUGAGGGCCUUCGGAUCGUAAAACUCUGUUAUUAGGGAAGAACAAAUGCGUAAGUAACCAUGCACGUCUUGACGGUACCUAAUCAGAAAGCACCGGCUAACUACGUG
This 492-nucleotide ribosomal RNA is filed under the name uncultured bacterium. RNAcentral describes it as "partial 16S ribosomal RNA". It matches the Rfam family "Bacterial small subunit ribosomal RNA", at positions 29 to 507 of the family's 1533-position model. The record is from RNAcentral.